RNAcentral lists this ribosomal RNA (314 nucleotides) under uncultured Thiomicrospira sp. RNAcentral's name for it is "bacterial SSU rRNA". It matches the Rfam family "Bacterial small subunit ribosomal RNA", at positions 29 to 334 of the family's 1533-position model. The record is from RNAcentral. Lineage: Bacteria; Pseudomonadati; Pseudomonadota; Gammaproteobacteria; Thiotrichales; Piscirickettsiaceae.
AAUGAACGCUGGCGGUAGGCUUAACACAUGCAAGUCGGACGGAAACGAUAUAGAAGCUUGCUUUUAUAGGCGUCGAGUGGCGGACGGGUGAGUAACGCGUGGGAAUCUACCCUGUAGUUGGGGACAACAUAUGGAAACGUAUGCUAAUACCGAAUGUGAUCUACGGAUUAAAGGAGCCCUCUUCUUGAAAGGUUUCGCUACAGGAUGAGCCCGCGUUAGAUUAGCUAGUUGGUAAGGUAAUGGCUUACCAAGGCGACGAUCUAUAGCUGGUUUGAGAGGAUGAUCAGCCACACUGGAACUGAGACACGGUCCAG